Long non-coding RNA from Saccostrea echinata, 177 nucleotides. RefSeq lists it as uncharacterized. The transcript is spliced from 3 exons. The record is from RefSeq and is a predicted model, not a curated record. Lineage: Eukaryota; Metazoa; Mollusca; Bivalvia; Ostreida; Ostreidae.
UUACUUGUAAUGACUGUCAUACCUGUUCUUAUGUUUAUAAGCUUCUUUUUUGUGAUAAAGAAACCAAAAAAAUUCUAUCAGAAGGAAUACAUAGUAAAAUACAGUGAAGACACCAGUAGCCUGUUAAAGGAAUCUGAUGAUGCAGAUGCCCUUGAUGAAGUAUAUGAUGCCUCUAUG